GUUUUAUAGGUACAAAAGGAAGAGAUGGACUAAUAGGCAAUAUAGGCUUCCCUGGAAACAAAGGUGAAGAUGGAAAAGUUGGUGUUUCCGGAGAUGUUGGCCUUCCUGGAGCUCCAGGAUUUCCAGGAGUUGCCGGCAUGAGAGGAGAACCAGGACUUCCAGGUUCUUCUGGUCACCAAGGGGCAAUUGGGCCUCUAGGAUCCCCCGGAUUAAUAGGACCCAAAGGUUUCCCAGGUCUCCAGGGCCCUGCUGGUCUCCCCGGUGCCCCAGGCAUCUCCUUGCCCUCACUCAUAGCAGGACAGCCUGGUGACCCCG
RNAcentral lists this long non-coding RNA (315 nucleotides) under Pan troglodytes (chimpanzee). RNAcentral's name for it is "long non-coding RNA NONPTRT018509". The record is from RNAcentral. Lineage: Eukaryota; Metazoa; Chordata; Mammalia; Primates; Hominidae.